UACGAAGGGGGGCUAGCGUUGUUCGGAAUUACUGGGCGUAAAGCGCGCGCAGGCGGCUAUCCAAGUCAGUGGUGAAAGCCCGGAGCUCAACUCCGGAACUGCCAUUGAAACUGUUUAGCUUGAGGACGAGAGAGGUGAGUGGAAUUCCCAGUGUAGAGGUGAAAUUCGUAGAUACUGGGAAGAAUACCCGUGGCGAAGGCGGCCAGCUGGGCCAGGUCCGACACUGAGGCGCGAAAGCGUGGGGAGCAAACAGG
RNAcentral lists this ribosomal RNA (254 nucleotides) under uncultured bacterium. Its description in RNAcentral is "partial 16S ribosomal RNA". It matches the Rfam family "Bacterial small subunit ribosomal RNA", at positions 524 to 776 of the family's 1533-position model. The record is from RNAcentral.